Molecule: non-coding RNA, 173 nt
Organism: Hydra vulgaris (swiftwater hydra)
Lineage: Eukaryota; Metazoa; Cnidaria; Hydrozoa; Anthoathecata; Hydridae
Source: RefSeq, a predicted model, not a curated record
UUGCAUUUCUUUUGACGUUCAUGUUUAUAUAAUUAGAUUACAACUAAGUUUGUGUAUAGCUUGUUUAUAUUAUUUCAGAAUUUGCUAUUUUAGACACUUGGUAUAAGCUGUCAUACUACACGUGGCAUGUGGUAUCCCACUAAUUAGCUAUUUUAAACAUGUGACAAGUGGUU